AAUCAAGCAUAAAUGAUAAGAAAAAAACAAAAACUGAGAAAAGAUGAAACACAAAGAAAGUAGGCCCUCUAUUUGAUGACUAUAAAACAUAAUUUAUAUGUCAUUGGAGAAUAUUACAAUAUAGCCAUCAAUCAGAAGAAUUAUAAUAAGUUAAAUCCCCAAAGAAUUAAGUUGUUGUCUUUUGAUUAAAUUAUAGACAAAGCAUCAACGCAAUUACUGCAAUUACUGGUGAUAGCAUGUAUGGAGUUGUUCCCUCCAUGUUGCCG
Molecule: unclassified non-coding RNA, 266 nt
Filed under: Hevea brasiliensis (rubber tree)
Lineage: Eukaryota; Viridiplantae; Streptophyta; Magnoliopsida; Malpighiales; Euphorbiaceae
Source: RNAcentral